This is a non-coding RNA of Podarcis lilfordi (Lilford's wall lizard), 95 nucleotides long. Lineage: Eukaryota; Metazoa; Chordata; Lepidosauria; Squamata; Lacertidae. The record is from the annotation of a GenBank genome assembly.
UCUCCAGCUGUUUUCAGACUACAGUUCCCAUCAUCCCUGACCACUGCCUUGCUAGCUAGGGAUGAUGCGAGUUGUAGUCUAAAAACAGCUGAAGA